This 460-nucleotide ribosomal RNA is filed under the name uncultured bacterium. RNAcentral describes it as "partial 16S ribosomal RNA". It matches the Rfam family "Bacterial small subunit ribosomal RNA", at positions 338 to 795 of the family's 1533-position model. The record is from RNAcentral.
CCUACGGGUGGCAGCAGUGAGGAAUAUUGGUCAAUGGACGAGAGUCUGAACCAGCCAAGUAGCGUGAAGGAUGACUGCCCUAUGGGUUGUAAACUUCUUUUAUAAAGGAAUAAAACGCGGCACGUGUGCGUUUUUGCAUGUACUUUAUGAAUAAGGAUCGGCUAACUCCGUGCCAGCAGCCGCGGUAAUACGGAGGAUCCGAGCGUUAUCCGGAUUUAUUGGGUUUAAAGGGAGCGUAGGUGGGUUGUUAAGUCAGUUGUGGAAGUUUGGGGGUCAACCCUAACAAUGCAGUUGAAACUGGCAGUCUUGAGUACAGGUGAGGUAGGCGGAAUGCGUGGUGUAGCGGUGAAAUGCUUAGAUAUCGCGAAGAACCCCGAUUGCGAAGGCAGCUUACUAAGCUGUGACUGACAUUGAGGCUCGAAAGUGUGGGGAUCGAACAGGAUUAGAUACCCGGGUAGUC